Drosophila elegans is the source of this 605-nucleotide long non-coding RNA. RefSeq lists it as uncharacterized. The record is from RefSeq and is a predicted model, not a curated record. The transcript is spliced from 3 exons. NCBI's taxonomy places the organism in Eukaryota, Metazoa, Arthropoda, Insecta, Diptera, Drosophilidae.
UGGGUGUGUUUCUAAUUAUGUUAUUGUUUUUAUUUUUGCAGGUGUAUCCCUCGCCGCAGUCAUGUACCCGAAGCCGGGUAGGAGUCCAAGCAUGGUUUAGAUGGGUGAAUUUGUUGUUGGUUUUAAUUGUUAUAAAUGUGUUUAUAUUUAUGCUCUUUUUUCCCCUCGCAGUCCUGUCCAGCCGGGCGCGUUUGUGCGAGAAGGACUUUGUGAAUUUUACACGAGCAGUACAUGGCUCGGGAAGGCAGUUCAAGUCCUCCAGAAGAACGCAGGACAGUAUGGAGUCGUCCAGGACAGGAGCAGGUGUUUGUGGAUAACUGGCUGGGCAGCCCCUGUACGAGCUGACAUGCGCCCCCGAGCAGUUUGGGCAUUUAGCCGGAGUUGAUCUUGGUUUUAGCCAAACUCUUGUUUCAUGGUUUCCAGCACACUUCAGACACCUUGGGCCUUUUAGGCAGUGGUUUCUGGAGUGGCGGAAACCUUGACAAUUGUAGCACUGGACCGGCUCUCGAGUUCUGUGCAUCAUUUCAACUUUGAUGGUUUGGUUGCCCAGGACCUUCAAAUUGUCCUAUUUUUCAUACAUUGCACACUGGUCCCAAAGUCCAAAA